Molecule: ribosomal RNA, 1372 nt
Filed under: uncultured bacterium
Lineage: Bacteria
Description: bacterial SSU rRNA
Rfam family: Bacterial small subunit ribosomal RNA
Source: RNAcentral
GAUGAACGCUGGCGGCGUGCCUAAUACAUGCAAGUCGAGCGAACGGACGAGAAGCUUGCUUCUCUGAUGUUAGCGGCGGACGGGUGAGUAACACGUGGAUAACCUACCUAUAAGACUGGGAUAACUUCGGGAAACCGGAGCUAAUACCGGAUAAUAUUUUGAACCGCAUGGUUCAAAAGUGAAAGACGGUCUUGCUGUCACUUAUAGAUGGAUCCGCGCUGCAUUAGCUAGUUGGUAAGGUAACGGCUUACCAAGGCAACGAUGCAUAGCCGACCUGAGAGGGUGAUCGGCCACACUGGAACUGAGACACGGUCCAGACUCCUACGGGAGGCAGCAGUAGGGAAUCUUCCGCAAUGGGCGAAAGCCUGACGGAGCAACGCCGCGUGAGUGAUGAAGGUCUUCGGAUCGUAAAACUCUGUUAUUAGGGAAGAACAUAUGUGUAAGUAACUGUGCACAUCUUGACGGUACCUAAUCAGAAAGCCACGGCUAACUACGUGCCAGCAGCCGCGGUAAUACGUAGGUGGCAAGCGUUAUCCGGAAUUAUUGGGCGUAAAGCGCGCGUAGGCGGUUUUUUAAGUCUGAUGUGAAAGCCCACGGCUCAACCGUGGAGGGUCAUUGGAAACUGGAAAACUUGAGUGCAGAAGAGGAAAGUGGAAUUCCAUGUGUAGCGGUGAAAUGCGCAGAGAUAUGGAGGAACACCAGUGGCGAAGGCGACUUUCUGGUCUGUAACUGACGCUGAUGUGCGAAAGCGUGGGGAUCAGACAGGAUUAGAUACCCUGGUAGUCCACGCCGUAAACGAUGAGUGCUAAGUGUUAGGGGGUUUCCGCCCCUUAGUGCUGCAGCUAACGCAUUAAGCACUCCGCCUGGGGAGUACGACCGCAAGGUUGAAACUCAAAGGAAUUGACGGGGACCCGCACAAGCGGUGGAGCAUGUGGUUUAAUUCGAAGCAACGCGAAGAACCUUACCAAAUCUUGACAUCCUUUGACAACUCUAGAGAUAGAGCUUUCCCCUUCGGGGGACAAAGUGACAGGUGGUGCAUGGUUGUCGUCAGCUCGUGUCGUGAGAUGUUGGGUUAAGUCCCGCAACGAGCGCAACCCUUAAGCUUAGUUGCCAUCAUUAAGUUGGGCACUCUAAGUUGACUGCCGGUGACAAACCGGAGGAAGGUGGGGAUGACGUCAAAUCAUCAUGCCCCUUAUGAUUUGGGCUACACACGUGCUACAAUGGACAAUACAAAGGGCAGCGAAACCGCGAGGUCAAGCAAAUCCCAUAAAGUUGUUCUCAGUUCGGAUUGUAGUCUGCAACUCGACUACAUGAAGCUGGAAUCGCUAGUAAUCGUAGAUCAGCAUGCUACGGUGAAUACGUUCCCGGGUCU